RNAcentral lists this ribosomal RNA (497 nucleotides) under uncultured bacterium. RNAcentral's name for it is "partial 16S ribosomal RNA". It matches the Rfam family "Bacterial small subunit ribosomal RNA", at positions 28 to 507 of the family's 1533-position model. The record is from RNAcentral.
GAUGAACGCUGGCGGCGUGCCUAAUACAUGCAAGUCGAGCGAACAGACGAGGAGCUUGCUCCUCUGACGUUAGCGGCGGACGGGUGAGUAACACGUGGAUAACCUACCUAUAAGACUGGGAUAACUUCGGGAAACCGGAGCUAAUACCGGAUAAUAUAUUGAACCGCAUGGUUCAAUAGUGAAAGACGGUUUUGCUGUCACUUAUAGAUGGAUCCGCGCCGCAUUAGCUAGUUGGUAAGGUAACGGCUUACAAAGGCAACGAGGCGUAGCCGACCUGAGAGGGUGAUCGGCCACACUGGAACUGAGACACGGUCCAGACUCCUACGGGAGGCAGCAGUAGGGAAUCUUCCGCAAUGGGCGAAAGCCUGACGGAGCAACGCCGCGUGAGUGAUGAAGGUCUUCGGAUCGUAAAACUCUGUUAUUAGGGAAGAACAAAUGUGUAAGUAACUAUGCACGUCUUGACGGUACCUAAUCAGAAAGCCACGGCUAACUACGUG